UACGUAGGGGGCAAGCGUUGUCCGGAAUUAUUGGGCGUAAAGAGCGUGUAGGCGGUCCGGUAAGUCGGCUGUGAAAGUCCAGGGCUCAACCCUGGGAUGCCGGUCGAUACUGCCGGACUAGAGUUCGGAAGAGGCGAGUGGAAUUCCCGGUGUAGCGGUGAAAUGCGCAGAUAUCGGGAGGAACACCUAUGGCGAAGGCAGCUCGCUGGGACGUUACUGACGCUGAGGAGCGAAAGCCAGGGGAGGCAAAACGGG
Molecule: ribosomal RNA, 255 nt
Filed under: uncultured bacterium
Lineage: Bacteria
Description: partial 16S ribosomal RNA
Rfam family: Bacterial small subunit ribosomal RNA
Source: RNAcentral